AUUAUGACUAUUUAUAUAAGACUUUCACAGGAAUCAAACCACUAAACAAAAUAAACUCUAAUAAUAAAAGAAUAAAUGCCAGUAAUAAAAAGUACACUACAACAAUGCACAAAAACCCAAAUUGAAGAGCUGAUAAUAAAGAAAAAAGUGCGACUUACACU
Thalassophryne amazonica is the source of this 161-nucleotide long non-coding RNA. RefSeq lists it as uncharacterized. The record is from RefSeq and is a predicted model, not a curated record. The transcript is spliced from 3 exons. NCBI's taxonomy places the organism in Eukaryota, Metazoa, Chordata, Actinopteri, Batrachoidiformes, Batrachoididae.